RNAcentral lists this ribosomal RNA (593 nucleotides) under uncultured Ophiocordyceps sinensis. RNAcentral's name for it is "eukaryotic LSU rRNA". The stretch from base 214 to 367 matches the Rfam family "5.8S ribosomal RNA". The record is from RNAcentral. Lineage: Eukaryota; Fungi; Ascomycota; Sordariomycetes; Hypocreales; Ophiocordycipitaceae.
GGAAGUAAAAGUCGUAACAAGGUCUCCGUUGGUGAACCAGCGGAGGGAUCAUUAUCGAGUCACCACUCCCAAACCCCCUGCGAACACCACAGCAGUUGCCUCGGCGGGACCGCCCCGGCGCCCCAGGGCCCGGACCAGGGCGCCCGCCGGAGGACCCCCAGACCCUCCUGUCGCAGUGGCAUCUCUCAGUCAAGAAGCAAGCAAAUGAAUCAAAACUUUCAACAACGGAUCUCUUGGUUCUGGCAUCGAUGAAGAACGCAGCAAAAUGCGAUAAGUAAUGUGAAUUGCAGAAUUCAGUGAAUCAUCGAAUCUUUGAACGCACAUUGCGCCCGCUGGUAUUCCGGCGGGCAUGCCUGUUCGAGCGUCAUUUCAACCCUCAAGCCCUCGGGUUUGGUGUUGGGGAUCGGCUCUGCCUUCUGGCGGUGCCGCCCCCGAAAUACAUUGGCGGUCUCGCUGCAGCCUCCAUUGCGUAGUAGCUAACACCUCGCAACUGGAACGCGGCGCGGCCAUGCCGUAAAACCCCAACUUCUGAAUGUUGACCUCGGAUCAGGUAGGAAUACCCGCUGAACUUAAGCAUAUCAAUAAGCGGAGGA